AUUGAACGCUGGCGGCAGGCCUAACACAUGCAAGUCGAGCGGAUGAAGGGAGCUUGCUCCUGGAUUCAGCGGCGGACGGGUGAGUAAUGCCUAGGAAUCUGCCGGGUAGGGGGGUAUAACGUCGGGAAACGGGCGCUAAUACCGCAUACGUCCUGAGGGAGAAAGUGGGGGAUCUUCGGACCGCAUGCUAUCAGAUGAGCCUAGGUCGGAUUAGCUAGUUGGUGGGGUAAAGGCCUACCAAGGCGACGAUCCGUAAAUGGUCUGAGAGGAUGAUCAGUCACACUGGAACUGAGACACGGUCCAGACUCCUACGGGAGGCAGCAGUGGGGAAUAUUGGACAAUGGGCGAAAGCCUGAUCCAGCCAUGCCGCGUGCGUGAAGAAGGUCUUCGGAUUGUAAAGCACUUUAAGUUGGGAGGAAGGGCAGUACGUUAAUACCUUGCUGUUUUGACGUUACCUACAGAAUAAGCACCGGCUAACUUCGUG
RNAcentral lists this ribosomal RNA (484 nucleotides) under uncultured bacterium. RNAcentral describes it as "partial 16S ribosomal RNA". It matches the Rfam family "Bacterial small subunit ribosomal RNA", at positions 30 to 507 of the family's 1533-position model. The record is from RNAcentral.